GGACUACACGGGUUUCUAAUCCUGUUUGAUCCCCACGCUUUCGUGCCUCAGCGUCAAUCAUACUUUAGUAAGCUGCCUUCGCAAUUGGUGUUCUGUGACAUAUCUAUGCAUUUCACCGCUACUUGUCACAUUCCGCCUACCUCAAGUACAUUCAAGCUCUUCAGUAUCAAAGGCACUGCGAUAGUUGAGCUACCGUCUUUCACCCCUGACUUAAAAAGCCGCCUACGCACCCUUUAAACCCAAUAAAUCCGGAUAACGCUCGGAUCCUCCGUAUUACCGCGGCUGCUGGCAC
Molecule: ribosomal RNA, 292 nt
Filed under: uncultured Bacteroidota bacterium
Lineage: Bacteria; Pseudomonadati; Bacteroidota
Description: uncultured Bacteroidetes bacterium partial 16S ribosomal RNA
Source: RNAcentral